ACGCCUGGCCUGAGAAAUUGACACCCGAGUGAAUGGAGGCGAAUGCACCUGCUUCAGUUGAGGAAGGCAGAUCACCAAAGGCGGCAGGAGUCCAGUGGUGAGGAUGGGAGGUCGGGAGAAGCUAAGAAGAAGGAGAGAAGAGACUCUACAGUGGGAGAACCACUUUGGGAAGAGCAGGAUCAGCCCCUUUAUCAUUUCGGUUUCCCUCUUCUGCUGCACCUUCUUCAGUUCGACAGUAUCGCUUUUUUGGUAAUCUGGCGACCGGAAGGAUACACUUUACUUCUGAGGAACAGCUACAACUGGAAACAAGGUCAGCUUCUUCUUGUUGUUGUUGUUGUUGUUGUUAUAGCCCAGUAAGCUUCCAGACCACCUUGGGUUUAUCCUCUCUUUUUGACAGUUAAAGCACCACAUUUUCAUUGAUGCCAGGAGAUGUUGAACAGUAGGGCACACAUCCUGGGGUGCCUCUGUUAUGGCACAAGAGAUAUUCCCAGACUGAUUGGGCAAGGUUCGGACCACAAUGUGUGUCUGGACAUUUAAAUUUGCAUUCUGAUUGGGCAAGACCUCUAGGGUUUUUAAAUUCUGUCUUGAUCGAAUUGGGCAAGAUCUCUAGGAUUUUUAAAUUGUAUAUGGAAUUGGGCAAGAUCAAGGCCUGUGUGGGCCUCGAUUUUUAAAUUGCAUCCCCCAGCUUGACCUUUACAAUUGUAUUCUGAUUGGGCAAGACCUCUAGGGUUUUUAAAUUCUGUAUGGAAUUGGGCAAGAUCAGGGCCUGUGUGGGCCUCGAUUUUUAAAUUGCAUCCCCCAGCUUGACCUUUACAAUUGUAUUCUGAUUGGGCAAGACCUCUAGGGUUUUUAAAUUCUGUAUGGAAUUGGGCAAGAUCGGGGCCUGUGUGGGCCUCGAUUUUUAAAUUGCAUCCCCCAGCUUGACCUUUACAAUUAUAUACUGAUUGGGCAAGACCUCUAGGGUUUUUAAAUUCUGUAUGGAAUUGGGCAAGAUCAGGGCCUGUGUGGGCCUCGAUUUUUAAAUUGCAUCCCCCAGCUUGACUGAGCACACAAUCUCUAGGUUCCCUUAGAGUGAAUUGGGCAUGAUACCAUUUUUUUAAAAUUCCAUGUUUGGGCAGCUUUAAGCCAGUGGACUGGAGUCCCGUGAGCUUGGAAUCUCCAAUGGCUCAACUGGGCAAGACAAUUGGUGUCUUUAAAUUCUGUCAGGGCCUUGUGGACAUAUUUUUCAGCCAGGGGUGUAGUGUUAAAUUUGGAUCGACUGACCACCCACUUAUAUUCAUGCUCAUGAUAAAGUCUGAAUCAAAUGGAUCACGUUGCGUGUUUUAUAUGCGCUGUGUCCCAAGUCCUGAG
Molecule: long non-coding RNA, 1350 nt
Organism: Hemicordylus capensis (graceful crag lizard)
Lineage: Eukaryota; Metazoa; Chordata; Lepidosauria; Squamata; Cordylidae
Exons: 3
Source: RefSeq, a predicted model, not a curated record